Molecule: long non-coding RNA, 294 nt
Organism: Amphimedon queenslandica
Lineage: Eukaryota; Metazoa; Porifera; Demospongiae; Haplosclerida; Niphatidae
Exons: 2
Source: RefSeq, a predicted model, not a curated record
AAAUAGGAUAUUGCACGAGCAUGGGUGUAAUAACAAAUUUAUAUCCAAUUGAAGCUAUACGGUACACGCACUGCGCAUGCGCAAAGCAAUUUUACACGUGACAAGUACCUGACAAGUAGAGGAGAGCUUAGAGAUGGCUGACAGGAGCGCCCAAAAACUAGAGGUAAGUGUCGCUUUCAUUAAAGAGAAGGAAGGCGGAGAGGACAGCGAGCGUUUAAGAAGAAAGAAGGAAGGUGGAGAGGACAGCGAGCGUUUAAGAAGAAAGAAGGAAGGUGGUGAGGACAGCGAGCGUUU